This 253-nucleotide ribosomal RNA is filed under the name uncultured bacterium. Its description in RNAcentral is "partial 16S ribosomal RNA". It matches the Rfam family "Bacterial small subunit ribosomal RNA", at positions 524 to 776 of the family's 1533-position model. The record is from RNAcentral.
UACGUAGGGGGCAAGCGUUGUCCGGAUUUAUUGGGCGUAAAGAGCGUGUAGGCGGCCAGGUAGGUCUGCUGUGAAAACUCGAGGCUUAACCUCGAGCUGUCGGCGGAAACCAUCUGGCUAGAGUCCGGAAGAGGAGAAUGGAAUUCCCGGUGUAGCGGUGAAAUGCGCAGAUAUCAGGAAGAACACCCGUGGCUAAGGCGGCUCUCUAGUACGGUACUGACGCUGAGACGCGAAAGCGUGGGGAGCGAACAGG